RNAcentral lists this ribosomal RNA (497 nucleotides) under uncultured bacterium. RNAcentral describes it as "partial 16S ribosomal RNA". It matches the Rfam family "Bacterial small subunit ribosomal RNA", at positions 28 to 507 of the family's 1533-position model. The record is from RNAcentral.
GAUGAACGCUGGCGGCGUGCCUAAUACAUGCAAGUCGAGCGAACAGACGAGGAGCUUGCUCCUCUGACGUUAUCGGCGGACGGGUGAGUAACACGUGUAUAACCUACCUAUAAGACUGUGAUAACUUCGGGAAACCGGAGCUAAUACCGGAUAAUAUAUUGAACCGCAUUGUUCAAUAGUUAAAGACGGUUUUGCUGUCACUUAUAGAUGGAUCCGCGCCGCAUUAGCUAGUUGGUAAGGUAACUGCUUACCAAGGCAACGAUGCGUAGCCGACCUGAGAGGGUGGACGGACACACGGGAACUGAGAAAGGGCAGAGACACCGAGGGGGGGAAGCAGCAGGGAAUCUUACGGAAUGCGGGAAAGGUGGAUGGAAGACAGCGGGGGGAGCGAUGAAGGUCUCAGGACCGUAAAACUAUGUUAGUAGGGAAGAACAAAUGUGUAAGUAACUAUGAACGUCUUGACGGUACCUAAUGAGAAAGCCACGGCUAACUACGUG